This 312-nucleotide ribosomal RNA is filed under the name Triticum aestivum (bread wheat). RNAcentral describes it as "partial small subunit ribosomal RNA". Lineage: Eukaryota; Viridiplantae; Streptophyta; Magnoliopsida; Poales; Poaceae. The record is from RNAcentral.
AUGGCGGAAUCUUUACCUCUCAGAUUCGGUGUAAUACUGACGCAAAGGGCGGGAUGCAAUCGCCUUGUUAUAAAUUCGGAUAAUAUGGAGCUGAUUGAAACUAUGAAUGAUGGAGGACAGUCGGUGGGUGCGGCGGCAGCAAUUUUCAAUGAUUGUUAUUAUUAUGCUAAUGGUUUCGUUACUGCUAGAUUUGAGCAUUAUAAUGGGGAAGCAAACAAAGUAGCUCAUGGGCUUGCUAGAUUAGCUAGAUUUUCUUUGACUCCCGAUUGGUUUGAGGAGCCUUUAAAUGAAAUUGUAAUGAGUUUUUUUUAA